Molecule: ribosomal RNA, 253 nt
Filed under: uncultured bacterium
Lineage: Bacteria
Description: partial 16S ribosomal RNA
Rfam family: Bacterial small subunit ribosomal RNA
Source: RNAcentral
UACAGAGGUCUCAAGCGUUGUUCGGAUUCAUUGGGCGUAAAGGGUGCGUAGGCGGCGCGGUAAGUCGGGUGUGAAAUCUCGGAGCUUAACUCCGAAACUGCAUUCGAUACUGUCGUGCUUGAGGACUGGAGAGGAGACUGGAAUUCAUGGUGUAGCAGUGAAAUGCGUAGAGAUCAUGAGGAAGACCAGUGGCGAAGGCGGGUCUCUGGACAGUUCCUGACGCUGAGGCACGAAGGUCAGGGGAGCAAACGGG